This 481-nucleotide ribosomal RNA is filed under the name uncultured bacterium. RNAcentral describes it as "partial 16S ribosomal RNA". It matches the Rfam family "Bacterial small subunit ribosomal RNA", at positions 46 to 523 of the family's 1533-position model. The record is from RNAcentral.
GCCUAACACAUGCAAGUCGAACGGAACUUCUUUAAUUGAUUUUUUCGGAAUGAUUUUGAUUAAGUUUAGUGGCGGACGGGUGAGUAACGCGUGAGUAACCUGCCUCUGAGAGGGGAAUAACAUUCUGAAAAGAAUGCUAAUACCGCAUAACAUAUAUUUAUCGCAUGGUAGAUAUAUCAAAGAUUUAUCGCUCAGAGAUGGACUCGCGUCCGAUUAGUUAGUUGGUGAGGUAACGGCUCACCAAGACCACGAUCGGUAGCCGGACUGAGAGGUUGAACGGCCACAUUGGGACUGAGACACGGCCCAGACUCCUACGGGAGGCAGCAGUGGGGGAUAUUGCGCAAUGGGGGAAACCCUGACGCAGCAACGCCGCGUGAAGGAUGAAGGUCUUCGGAUUGUAAACUUCUUUUAUUAAGGACGAAUAAAGUGACGGUACUUAAUGAAUAAGCUCCGGCUAACUACGUGCCAGCCGCCGCAGUAA